This 203-nucleotide ribosomal RNA is filed under the name uncultured Bifidobacterium sp. Its description in RNAcentral is "partial 16S ribosomal RNA". The record is from RNAcentral. Lineage: Bacteria; Bacillati; Actinomycetota; Actinomycetes; Bifidobacteriales; Bifidobacteriaceae.
GGCCGCUCUAGAACUAGUGGAUCCCCCGGGCUGCAGCCCAAUGUGGAAUUCGCCCUUAUUACCGGGGCUGCUGGCACGUAGUUAGCCGGCGCCUAUUCGAAAGGUACACUCACCCGAAGGCUUGCUCCCAAACAAAAGAGGUUUACAACCCGAAUAGACAUGCACUUAAUCUGCCAUUGGCACGACAGCAACUGUUACUGGAU